UAAGAUGCUGCCCUGUGGCACUCCAAUGGUAAUUGGUAGAGUGGACGAAGUUGUAUCAUUGAUGGUUACAUAUUGGUGUCUGUCACUAAGAUAGGAUCGGAUGUAGUCAAGGGCAAGGCCUCGGCACGUUAGGUGAAAUGAAACGUGCUCAAUCAUUUCAGUCCAGCCUGGAGAUCAACCUCAAGAUCCUCGACUGUGUGAUGAGAACAGACUAUUGUGCUAUAGGCAAUGAAUGUGGCCUCAACUGCACGGUCCAUCACACCCUGUACUCGGGCAGUAGUCACGUGUCGGAAUGGUACGACUUGUAUGUAUGGGAGCGUCGCUUGUGUCCCAAAGUGCAGAACAACAACAUUGAUGCAAUCAUCCCAAAGAGCUGCAAAGCAAGUAACCGGACCAGGCAUGUAAUGUAGUCAUCGCGUGAAUUUGCCUUGGCUAUAGGAACAUCUGGCAGGUGAUUCCAGGUGAAGGCUACAGCAUUUUCAUCCGUUUCGUUAAAAGAUCGUCGAAUACCAGCUUGAAGUUCUCCAAUCAAGGUGGCAGAAACUUCUCCACGAAAGGCAAACGCAAGUGUUCCAGCGACCAAUUGUAGUGUAAAAACCACAACAACCAAGCUAAAGUACUGAAAAAAAGGUGGGCAAAUUAACUAAUUUGUAAAUAUGUAAACAAGAGUACAAGAAUAAAAAAUGGAAUCACUGUAUACUACUAUAUAAUUUGUUUUCAUUUAAAGUAGUAUUGCAUUGAAACUACACCUGCAAUACUAUAUGUAUAUAUAUAUACACAAUGAUGUUUAUUAAAUUAGAAUAUUGAAUUUCAUUGAAAAAAAAAGCAUGUGAUUAAUAAUAAUAUAACCGAUACCAUUUAUUGGUCCCGAUAACGCCUGGCAUUAUCAUCAGGUACAUAGGGAGAAGUAUAAAUUGUUUCAUUUCUUGAGCAUCAUUACAUAUUUCCAUAAAGUUAUUAUCCAAUAUUCUUGAAAUUCCACUAAAUUAAAUGAACUACAAUACUGUACUUAAUUAUUUUUUUAUUUUUUCCACCUAAUGUUUAUUAAAUGUAUAGUACAUAAAUGGUUCUUUAAUGUAAUUACUUAGAAUGUUAAACUGUAUUGUAAUUAAGGUACCCUUCAUUACUUAAAUGUAUUCCUAAUCAUAAUAUUAUUAGCCAUUUGCCAGCAAUUAUUAAUUCACUGUGUCAGGGGACAGGAGGGAAUUCAUUGUGUCGGGGAAAUGCACUCUGGAAGCCAGAGUGCAUUCAUACACAUUUGGCUUUUAUCGAGGUACCCCCUCCAAGGGGGAAUUACUGACCCUGCCCCAGGAUACAACCCCACAACAAGCCGACUAACUCCCGAGUACCUACUCAUUGCUAGAUGAACAAGUGCAUUAAGUGAAAGGAAAUGUGCCCAACCAUUUCUGUGCUGCCCUGGAUUCGCCGAGUACGAAGGCAGAUCUUUCAAAUGAAAGAUUUGCUUUCUUUUGAAAGAAAGCAAAUGCUCAUCUUUCAACAUACUUUCAGUACGCUGAAAGAUGAGCAUUGAAACUGGCCUUGGAAAUUUGUUUAUCCAGCAACAAUUUAAUAAAAUUUAAAACUUCA
Long non-coding RNA from Procambarus clarkii (red swamp crayfish), 1587 nucleotides. RefSeq lists it as uncharacterized. NCBI's taxonomy places the organism in Eukaryota, Metazoa, Arthropoda, Malacostraca, Decapoda, Cambaridae. The record is from RefSeq and is a predicted model, not a curated record.